RNAcentral lists this long non-coding RNA (227 nucleotides) under Anas platyrhynchos platyrhynchos (common mallard). RNAcentral's name for it is "lncRNA (ENSAPLG00000017752.1)". Lineage: Eukaryota; Metazoa; Chordata; Aves; Anseriformes; Anatidae. The record is from RNAcentral.
UCUUUACAGGAUGAAAGUCUGGAUCUAGAAGGAGUGCUUACAGCGUAUGACAGCAGUGGCAGUAUCCGGCGAUUCAUGUCUUCGGGGAAGUGGAUAACAGGAGGAAAAAUGUAUAUCGGGGUUGAUGGAAAUUGUCAUGGUUCCACUGACGUCAAAGAGCCAGCUAUCAGUGGCAGGGUUUGCAACACAGGGAGAACAUGGGAACUGUAAACAUAACCCAGGAAUCC